Molecule: small RNA, 94 nt
Filed under: Flavobacterium sp. ov086
Lineage: Bacteria; Pseudomonadati; Bacteroidota; Flavobacteriia; Flavobacteriales; Flavobacteriaceae
Description: Flavo-1 RNA
Source: RNAcentral
AGUGAACUUCGUUUGAAGCGGUAUCCUUUUUUGAGAUGUCCCGAGGCUUCGGGAUCUUCACCGUAAAAAGAUAAAGCCGAAAGCGGAAACUAUG